GAUGAACGCUGGCGGCGUGCCUAAUACAUGCAAGUCGAGCGAACAGAUGAGGAGCUUGCUCCUCUGACGUUAGCGGCGGACGGGUGAGUAACACGUGGAUAACCUACCUAUAAGACUGGGAUAACUUCGGGAAACCGGAGCUAAUACCGGAUAAUAUAUUGAACCGCAUGGUUCAAUAGUGAAAGACGGUUUUGCUGUCACUUAUAGAUGGAUCCGCGCCGCAUUAGCUAGUUGGUAAGGUAACGGCUUACCAAGGCAACGAUGCGUAGCCGACCUGAGAGGGUGAUCGGCCACACGGGAACUGAGACACGGCCCAGACUCUUACGGGAGGCAGCAGUAGGGAAUCUUCCGCAAUGGGCGAGAGCCUGACGGAGCAACGCCGCGUGAGUGAUGAAGGUCUUCGGAUCGUAAAACUCUGUUAUUAGGGAAGAACAAAUGUGUAAGUAACUAUGCACGUCUUGACGGUACCUAAUCAGAAAGCCACGGCUAUCUACGUG
This 497-nucleotide ribosomal RNA is filed under the name uncultured bacterium. Its description in RNAcentral is "partial 16S ribosomal RNA". It matches the Rfam family "Bacterial small subunit ribosomal RNA", at positions 28 to 507 of the family's 1533-position model. The record is from RNAcentral.